RNAcentral lists this ribosomal RNA (468 nucleotides) under uncultured bacterium. RNAcentral's name for it is "partial 16S ribosomal RNA". It matches the Rfam family "Bacterial small subunit ribosomal RNA", at positions 28 to 507 of the family's 1533-position model. The record is from RNAcentral.
GACGAACGCUGGCGGCGUGCUUAACACAUGCAAGUCGAACGGAAAGGCCCUGCUUUUGUGGGGUGCUCGAGUGGCGAACGGGUGAGUAACACGUGAGUAACCUGCCCUUGACUUUGGGAUAACUUCAGGAAACUGGGGCUAAUACCGGAUAGGAGCUCCUGCUGCAUGGGGGGGGUUGGAAAGUUUCGGCGGUUGGGGAUGGACUCGCGGCUUAUCAGCUUGUUGGUGGGGUAGUGGCUUACCAAGGCUCUGACGGGUAGCCGGCCUGAGAGGGUGACCGGCCACAUUGGGACUGAGAUACGGCCCAGACUCCUACGGGAGGCAGCAGUGGGGAAUAUUGCACAAUGGGCGGAAGCCUGAUGCAGCAACGCCGCGUGCGGGAUGACGGCCUUCGGGUGGUAAACCGCUUUCGCCGGUGACGAAGCGUGAGUGACGGUAAUGGGUAAAGAAGCACCGGCUAACUACGUG